RNAcentral lists this unclassified non-coding RNA (352 nucleotides) under soil metagenome. Its description in RNAcentral is "partial contains 5.8S ribosomal RNA, internal transcribed spacer 2, and large subunit ribosomal RNA". The stretch from base 1 to 120 matches the Rfam family "5.8S ribosomal RNA", at positions 35 to 154 of the family's 154-position model. The record is from RNAcentral.
GAUGAAGAACGCAGCGAAAUGCGAUAAGUAAUGUGAAUUGCAGAAUUCAGUGAAUCAUCGAAUGUUUGAACGCACAUUGCGCCCGCCAGUAUUCUGGCGGGCAUGCCUGUUCGAGCGUCAUUACAACCCUCAGGCCCCCGGGCCUGGCGUUGGGGAUCGGCGGAGCCCCCCGUGGGCACACGCCGUCCCCCAAAUACAGUGGCGGUCCCGCCGCAGCUUCCAUCGCGUAGUAGCUAACACCUCGCGACUGGAGAGCGGCGCGGCCACGCCGUAAAACACCCAACUCUUCUGAAGUUGACCUCGAAUCAGGUAGGAAUACCCGCUGAACUUAAGCAUAUCAAUAAGCGGAGGA